AUAUUCAGGGGAGAAGGGAAACCACUGAGGGGUCUGGGCAGAAGAAUGAAGGGGCCAGACUUAUGAUUCAAACCAAAGAGCUCCAUCUGCAAUGGAUGAAAAGGGGGUUGCCCUUCUCUCAGACAUCUAUCCUGAGAAAAUCUUGCCGGACUUGUUGGCUCAAUAUGACAGCGGCAAAGACAAGCACACACCAGAGACCAGAAUGAAAGUCGGGGAAGUCCUUAUGCGAAUUGUCAGGGCAUUAGGAGACAUGGUCUCAAAGUACCGAGAACCUUUGAUCCACACCUUCCUGAGGGGAGUGAGAGACCCCGAUGGUGCUCACAGGGCCAGCAGCUUGGCCAACCUUGGGGAGCUGUGCCAGAGGCUGGACUUUCUGCUGGGCUCCGUGGUCCAUGAGGUAACAGCUUGCCUGAUUGCUGUGGCCAAAACAGACGGUGAAGUUCAAGUACGCAGAGCUGCCAUACAUGUGGUGGUGCUGCUGCUUCGGGGACUCAGCCAGAAAGCUACUGAGGUGCUGAGCGCCGUCCUCAAGGAUCUCUACC
This 542-nucleotide small RNA is filed under the name Pongo abelii (Sumatran orangutan). RNAcentral's name for it is "processed transcript". Lineage: Eukaryota; Metazoa; Chordata; Mammalia; Primates; Hominidae. The record is from RNAcentral.